UCAAACCCAGUUAUCUUGAAAUCCUCAUCUUGAAAACCUAACCCCUUCACAAUUGACUCCUUCAAGUCAGAAAUAGCUUUAAGAUAUGGAUGAUUGAUACCUUUGCCAGCGACGGAAGUUGCAAAUGGAGAAAUCGAACAACAAUCGCAAGAACAAAGAUGGCCAAGAAAUAACAACAACUGGAUGAUCUCAAAUCCAUUGAUAAAAACUUAGAAAUGCUAAGAGCAACGGGAAGAUGAGAUUGCUAAUUUUCCCAUUUUUUUACAAAGUGAAGUUUGGUGGUGGAUGAGGGUCGUUGUCAAUUGUCAAAUGUCUUCCCAAUAUUGAAAAAGACCAC
This 337-nucleotide long non-coding RNA is filed under the name Solanum tuberosum (potato). RNAcentral describes it as "long non-coding RNA (STUB_LNC010129)". Lineage: Eukaryota; Viridiplantae; Streptophyta; Magnoliopsida; Solanales; Solanaceae. The record is from RNAcentral.